AGCGUUUCUGUGCGGCUGCUGCAUCCCUGGUAGAGAAAGCAGGGGCGGCUGCAGGAGCAGCAGCAACCGUAGCAGCCACAGCACAGACUCCAGGGUUGGGAAUCAUUUCUACCUCUACCUCUGUGGCAACAGAAGCGCCAAGUCACAAGGAGGGUGAGGAUGUAGUCCAGAGGCUGCUGGGCUAUGUCACUCUGAAGGUGGUGAGUAACAUGCUAUUCACUGGGGACAUCAACCAAGUAAAGAUUCUAGGUCCUGACAGAGGGGUGUGUGUGUGUGUGUGUGUGUGUGUGUGUGUGUGUGUGUGAGAGAGAGAGAUGGGGGGGGAGUAGGGGCAGGGGAGCACUUACAUUUUCAUAGUGCAGAAAUACAUACGUAUCUGUGAAUGCAGUAAAUAAAUAGACCACAGUGUUUUUUAGCAAGAGAGUCAGAGCGGCCAUGUGUUCAGAGAGACGCAACCCUAAAAUUACAGACCUACUAAAGGGUAGGUCUUGAACCUAGGGUCCAGGUCCCCAGCACAAGAUUCUUUUAUUCUACGUGGGGACAUGAGAGGUGCCCUUGGGCCGAGUGACUCGAUACCCCUGGGCAUGAAGCCAAAGACUGCAGCUACAGUGUGAAUGUCACUAGGACACAUCUCUCUGCUUGCAGUGAAUAUAGGGAGCUAUUUUGAACUAAUGGCAACUUGGGGCACAACAGCAAACAGUCUGCAUUGGCCAUAAAUCUCCCUGCCCUCGUGGCUAUCUUCUCCCUUGAGGCUUUUCUCUGGGUCACAAUAUCAAGUACUUCCAUCACCUGAAGAGCUUGUCAUAACAACAGUGCCUCGCUUGGUCUGUGGACUGCAUGUUUGCUGAACGUCAUCCAUAUACCAGGGGUGAUGCAAGUGACCCCUGGCUUUGCAGUUUCGUUUAUUUCCUGGAUCUGCCAGAGAUCUCACAAGCUGACUGAGAUGCGCUCGCCAACCCCAAGGAGGCUGACAUCUGAUAUCUCAGUGCUCACCCCAGCACAGCAUCCUGAGGCCUUACUCCCCCAUUAUCUAUGCCUGACAAGUCAGGAAGACUGAGGCUGGAUAAGGUUAAAAAGUGUGAGCUGCUUAAGCCCCUUCUAUAAAGUCCUAUUUUCCUUAAUAAUCUAGUUCUUAAAAAGUUAAUUUCUAUGUUUCCUACAACCAGUAUGAUCUUUGCCUCUAGAAUGGAAAAGAAUAUUCUCUCUUCAAUUAAAAAAAAAGCAAUUAUUUAUAGCACUGUGGUUCAAACAUGCAAACAGAGCAGAGCACUGGAAAUAUAGACUCUCGGUUAGGCAUCACACGCACCAUCGGGGCAUCCUCUGGUCUACCUCAUCUUUUUCUGGGUUGUUUCAAGUUAACAAGAUGAGAUAUAUUUCAGAACUUGACUGCGUCUAUCAGCCAGAUCUACAGCUAUGGGAGCCAGGUAUGCUACUCUCCUUCCCAGUGCCUCUGUCUUUUCUCGUUGAUAAACUGGUGUCUAAGACUAAACAGUUUCUGUCCUCCCUCCGAGCACUGAAACUUUCGAGUGUCCAUUCUCUCCUUCCUUAUUCAAGCACAGUCUCUAGUUUCUGUGGCAUGCCAGAGGUGCUGCUGAUGCUGGCAGGACAGACCUGGAGGAGCUGUUGUUUGCUGGCAGCAAUAGUUCCUAUCAAACCCCCUCCAUGCAGCAAAUCUUCAGUCAUUGCUUCCCAUCAUGCACAGCUACAAGAUUGUCCUCAAGCUAAAAGGUCUGUGUCCUUCUCUCUUGCUCUUCUCUAGAGCAGCACUGGGCGUGUACUCAAUAAGCCACAGUUCCAGGCACAGUGCUAAGCCGCUUUCCUGCAUGACGUCAUUUAACCCUGACAAUCAUCCUAUUCAGUAGAUAAUAUGAUUAGCUCAACUUACAGAUGAAGAAACUGGCAACUUAUCCAAAAUGGCAUGGGUGAAAAGAAUAGGGACAGAGUUCCUGUUUGGGAUGGUGGAGACGUCUGGAAACAGAUAGGGGUAAUGGUUAAAUGACAUUGGGGGUGUAUUUAAUGCUACUAUUUUGAAUGGUGCUGGGUUUGGUGGCUCAUGUGGGGAGCUGAGGAAGGAGGGUCGCCACAAAUUCAAAGUCAGCCUGGGCUACAGAGUGAGUUCCAGGCUAGCCCAGACUUCAGAAUAAGAUCCUGUCUCAAAAUAAAAAGCUAAAAUGUUAAACUCAUGUUGCAUAUAUUUUACCACAAUAAAAGAAGAGAGGUAGGAUCAGGGGUAUAGUUCAGAAGGUAGAAUAUUUGUCUAGCUCUCAGGAAGCCCUGAGUUCAAGCCCCAGCACCACACAAAACUAGGAGUGGAGGCUCGUGCCGGAAAUCUCAGAGUUCAAGAGGUAGCGACAGACGAACCAGAAGCCCAAGGUCAUUCCUGGCUAUAUACUGAAGCUAGCCUGGGUUUCAUGAGAUUUGUCUUAAAGAAAGG
Molecule: long non-coding RNA, 2434 nt
Filed under: Mus musculus (house mouse)
Lineage: Eukaryota; Metazoa; Chordata; Mammalia; Rodentia; Muridae
Description: long non-coding RNA chr14:64574358-64576792
Source: RNAcentral